GUGAGGCCCAAGCCGAAGGAGAGGCCGGAAUCCUCGGCUGCAUCUUCUCGAGCGUAACAGGGGCGAGAUCCGCGGCGGCCAUUUGAAUGGCCGAUGAACCCGCACAACCGCCGCUGAAAUCGCGGCGGUAAUUUGAAAAUUUUCUCUCUAAAAUCCCCCAUUGAACCGCAUCUGAGAGCCUCUAACCCCUUUUCCCUCCUCCGCUGCUAGGGUUUGGAGCUCGCACCAGUGCCGCCGGAGAGAGGAGCCGCAGCUUCUCUUCAUAGCAAGGUACAGUGAAGUUGUCAUCUGGUUCUAGAGAUUCGUGAGCGAAUCAAGAUAAUUAAGGCGAUUAGGAGCAGGAAAGAGUGAAUGAAAAUUGGAGUUGAAGCAUAGUUACAGGGACUCUUAGUAUCUAUGUUAAUAAGUUUGAGUUGUAAUAUUGCAAACUCAAGUAUUUGAUUUAGAUGCUCGGUAUUUGCUUCUUUAUGAUUAGUCAAUAAAUUUGAUCGGAUUUGGUUUUAUUUCAUGAAA
Molecule: non-coding RNA, 513 nt
Organism: Phoenix dactylifera (date palm)
Lineage: Eukaryota; Viridiplantae; Streptophyta; Magnoliopsida; Arecales; Arecaceae
Source: RefSeq, a predicted model, not a curated record